Molecule: transfer RNA, 73 nt
Filed under: Myxococcales bacterium
Lineage: Bacteria; Pseudomonadati; Myxococcota; Myxococcia; Myxococcales
Also listed under: 3 other names
Description: tRNA-Lys
Rfam family: tRNA
About the family: Transfer RNA (tRNA) molecules are approximately 80 nucleotides in length. Their secondary structure includes four short double-helical elements and three loops (D, anti-codon, and T loops).
Source: RNAcentral
GGGCCGUUAGCUCAGUUGGCAGAGCAGUGGGCUUUUAACCCAUCGGUCGCAGGUUCGAGCCCUGCACGGCCCA